Long non-coding RNA from Gallus gallus (chicken), 1443 nucleotides. Lineage: Eukaryota; Metazoa; Chordata; Aves; Galliformes; Phasianidae. The record is from Ensembl.
UGCUGCUGUGGUUGGCGUCUGGCGCUCUUGAUGUCGUACAGUGUCUCCACUGCGAGCGGGCGUACAGCCGCCUCACCCUUCUGGGAGAUGCUGGCGCUGUUGGCCCAGCAGCCGGGCGUGGAGUGGCUGAAGCUGAGCCUCGCCGGGCAGGCGGCUGUUGCAUCGCCGUGCAGCCGAGGAAGGGGGCAGACGGCGGCGUGCAGGACUCGGGCGGCGGCGGGGCGGCGCAGAGGCUCCGGAGGGUGCGAUGCAGCAGCGGGUAGGAGGGGAGGAUGGUUCUCCUCAGAAACACUCACUGGGACCUCAGCCUCUGAAGACGUUGCUGUUGUUGGAGUGCUCGGGGGAUACUAGGCUUUGGCAAGCCUACCUGGAGGGGCUGAAGAAGUUCCUUGCCUUUAGGAAGGACAUGGGGAUGCCUGCAGCCUGGCCCAUUCCAGAGGAUCAAGUUAGAGGAUUUUUAGCUGUGGAGUCUCUUUACUCGUGCUCAAAAACAUUGACGUAUGUGGCAGCGUUGUCUUACUUAUCAAGACUGUCUGGUAACCCUGACCCUCUGGAAGAUGCUAUAACCCGUUGUAUGGUAAUGGGGUUGAGACGUCAAGUGGGCAUCCUGAGGGAAAAAUACGCUCCUAUAACAAUUGAGGUGCUACGAUCUCUCUUAGGAGCACUGGAAUCUGUGUGUGUAUCCCAUUAUGAAUGCUUACUGUUCCGUGCAUUGUUCACCGUGGCUCUUUUUGGGGCACUUCGAAUAGGAGAGAUGGUGGCAAAGCACCGUAAUGUACUGCAGCCUGAACUGCUGUACUUGAGGGAUGUGCGGGUGACAGAAAGCAGGGUGGCGUUUCACCUGCAUAACUGUCCUGUCGGCCAGGAGAGACCCAUCAUCAGCCUUGCUCUGUCAGGAGAGCCGUGGGUGUGCCCUGUCCUGGCCCUCCGGAGCUAUGUGGCUGUGCGUUCAAGACUGGAAGGGCCGCUCUUCGUGCACGGGGACGAUGUGCCUGUAACAAAGAGGGGGUUUCUGACUGUUCUCAGAUGGGCCCUUAGGCUGCUGGGGCUGCCCCCGGAGCAUUACGGCGUGCACUCCUUCUGGCUGGGGACUAUCAUCACUGCUGCACGCUGUGGAUAUCCCAGGGAAGAUAUCACUCGCCUGGCGAGGUGGCCAUGUGUGUUCCCAGAGAAGUCAUAGCUAUGGAGACAGUGGGCAAAAGAAGCUAGUGGUUUCUUUCUGUAGUUUUAACAACACACACAGUUUAUAGUCCUUGGCAGUAAUUUAACAUUACCAUCUGUAAUGAAUGUUCUACCUCACUGUGGAUAUAAUCUAUGAAGUUCACUUGCAUUUGUUUUCACCCUCUGUACUGUUGAGGGUGGGGGACUGUCAAACUUGCUGUGCCCGCAGAUGCUUUUAUCUUGUAUGACUUCAGUUAAUAAAUGCUUCCUUUUUCAAAAAGC